UCUGAGCCGUCAUAGACAGACGCAUUUUGGGAAUUUUCUCUUUUUUUACUACACUAUCUGCAUUAAUUGUAUGUGCAACAUGCAAGAAAGAAAUUACAUUUUCUCGAACUGCUGCUCGUGGACUGGGAUUUAAAAUUGCAUUGAAAUGCAGCUGUGAAGAUAUUGGCUAUAUUUCAUCCUCUCCAUUCAUCAACAAAGCUUAUGAAAUAAACCCAAGAAUUGUAACGGCAAUGAGACUUCUAGCAGUCGGGAGGGAAGGUAUAAAUAUAUUCUGUAGUGUAAUGGAUAUUUGUCAAGGUUUAGCUAUCAACACGUAUUAUAGUUGCCUUGAGAAAGUUGUUGAUACCGUGGUAAAAUCUAGUUUUUGCCAAGGUUGUAAUUUAUGGAGAACAAAAAAAAAAUGACGAUAUCGAGUCUUAUGAAUCUUGGUAUGAAGAACACGAAGAUUUUUGCACAAUAAACCACAACGGAAGUGCCGGGAAAAUGGAGGUUGAUGCUGUAAUUGAAAUGUUCGAGAGAUCGGUAGAGAUACAUGGAGUGAAAUAUGUAAAAUACAUAGGUGACGGUGAUUCGAAAACAUUUAAACCUUUAAAAUUCUCGAUAUAAAUCCGUAUGCGGAUGACCCUGUAGUGGAAAAAAAGAGUGUGUAGGACAUGUGCAGAAACGUAUGGGCUCAAGAUUACGUAAACUCAAAAAAGAUACCAAAGGUCUGGGUGGCAGGGGUGAUGGCACAUUAACAGAUAAAAUUAUUAAUGAACUAUCUUUAUAUUAUGGUUUGGCUAUUUGUCGGCAUCCAGAUUCAGUUGAGGAUAUGCACAACGAAGUAUGGGCAACUUAUUAUCACAAAAGUUCAACCAAUGAAACUCCACAGCACAUGUACGGCCCAUCUGGUUCAUCAAGCUGGUAUAAAUGGCAAAAAGCAAAAGCUGACGGUACAUUGGAUGAUUUUGAUCAUGAAAAUCCCCCUCUGAAUGGAAAAGUGUUAAAAGCAAUCAAGCCAAUCUAUGAAAGUUUGUCAGAUGAAAAUCUGCUGCUACGUUGUUUGGGCUCAGAAACGCAAAAUAAUAAUGAAUCGCUAAAUUCAUUAAUUUGGACUUUUGCGCCGAAAUACAUUCAUUCAGGAACAAGAACAAUUGAAAUUGCAAAUUAUUUUGCAGUUUGCAUUUUCAAUGAAGGCUUCUUACCAAUUUUAAAAAUAAUGAGCAUCAUGGGAAUCACCAUUGGUCCAGAAGCCUAUGCAUUCGCUGACAAACGGGACAAGACACGAAUACGUCGCUCUGAAGGACAAGCUUCUGAAGCUUCUAAGGAAGCUUGAACAGCCCGUUUAGCCGAAAGAAAUGCUGAAAAUAACAUGUUUGAAGAAGAAGAAGGUCCCAUGUACGAAGCAGGAAUGGCCGAUUAACGAAAUAUCACCCAAAGUGUUGGAAUCGUGUCAGGAAGGGCGCACCCUUAUUUUCAACCCCCGCCACGCCACCACGCCGCAAUUAAUCAAAUUAUUACAAAUUUUUUAUUUUUUAUUUUUUUUUUUUGUAUUCUUAAAAUAUUAAUAAAUAUCUGCUAAAAAAUUGGAUAGUAAAAAUG
Molecule: long non-coding RNA, 1581 nt
Organism: Bactrocera neohumeralis
Lineage: Eukaryota; Metazoa; Arthropoda; Insecta; Diptera; Tephritidae
Exons: 2
Source: RefSeq, a predicted model, not a curated record